This 24225-nucleotide long non-coding RNA is filed under the name Populus trichocarpa (black cottonwood). RNAcentral describes it as "long non-coding RNA (PTRI_LNC000459)". Lineage: Eukaryota; Viridiplantae; Streptophyta; Magnoliopsida; Malpighiales; Salicaceae. The record is from RNAcentral.
UGUAAGCAUUAUUUUGUUCAUCAAUUUGUUCCAUGCGCACAAAUUGAGAUUCUUUGAGCUGUUUAGACGCUACUUCCCACUGAACUCGUGAUUUACCUCUUAGAGCCCUUCCCACUGUCACAAGUGCUAUAGGCAAGCCUUGGCAUUCUCUCGCAACCUCCCUUGCCACUGUGUUCAAGGUAGAGUCCCCAUCACGUAAACCUGCAUUGAUACUGAAUAAAUCCCACGCUUCAUCUUCAGGUAAGACUCUUAAAUGCACUUUUUGCUGGCACUCCAUAGAAAAACAUAUGCCUUGAACACGUGUUGUUAGAAGAAUUUUACAACCCCUGUGAUCAUCACCAAAUGGGAUCCCUAUCUCUUUCAAGUCAAUAUGUUUCCAAACAUCAUCCAGGGUUAUAAGCAUCUUCUCCACUUUCUUCAGUCUCUGCCGUAAUCGAUCUGCUCUCCCUUCUUUACUGUUUUCUUCAAUUUUCAAACCUAACAUAUCUGCCAUUCGGUUCUGAAUGUCUAUGACAUUUGGAUUCUGCGACACCGUAGCCAUCAAAACUUCAUCAAAAAGCUGCGACUCUCUGGCUAUCGUGCCUACUCUUUUCACCAGGGUGGUUUUACCCACCCCUCCCAUGCCGUACAGUCCGAUCAUAUUGGCGUUGUCAUCUUUGCGAGCUUUCAUAAUCUGUUCCAAAGCUUCUUUUGAAGAUUCUGAGGGCGUGAAUUCCUUUGAUGGAAGAAAUUCUAUGGGCUGAGGAGGAAAUUUGUGGGCCACUUUUGUAAACUUUGUUUCUGAAAGUCUCCGACUCCUUGGCCAGUGCCUUGCUUAACUUGAAUUGUCGAAUGCAGUUUGGACACCAAGUGAAGCAUUUGCCAUUUUUUCCUAUUUCUUUUUCCAAGGGCUUCGCACCUUCAAUUUUGCUGUUUGCAUCUUCCAUCCACUUUUUGACACCUUUCUUAAUUUCUUCAGCAUUCCUUUCAGCAGCUUCGACUUCUUUUUGCAGACCAUCUAGUGCUAAAGCAAGGUUCUCCUUUUGUUCUUUGAAUUCUUCAACAAAAUUGUUGAAACAGAACAUGUAACGGAACUGCCUUCCUACUGGUUCCACCAUGAGUUCUGCUAUCUUAGAUAUAAUGGAUCCACCCACACUUUCGAGAGCCAUUUUCCACCAGUCUGAAAAUCAGAGAAAUGAGGAUACAGGACGUGAGAGUGAGUCACUACAAGUAAAACAGGCGCAGAGAGAAUGGGAAUAGGAAUUCCAUUACCGUAAUUUGGGAAAAUAUGCGCGGAAAGCACUGGUACUGAGAGCUCAAUGAAAUAGCGGGAGGAAGAAAAGGAGAAGGCCUUUAGCUCUGUAUGGAAUCCAGCUUCAAAAGCAACAAGGCAAGGUAUAAGGAUUCUAACUGACACUUGUGAGUUAAAGCAGUAAUUCCCAUUAAAAAUGCAUUUUGAUGACAUAAUUAAGAUCAUAUUGAGACAGUGGCAAACAAAAAAUAAAUGUAUAAAAGUACUCACCUAGCAAAGAAAGAAACGAAUGAAAGGUUCAGGAUAAUCACUUAGCUCGCUUCCAACAACAAAUAUAAUUAAUUAAUCUAAGCUAUGAUCGGUCAAAGUUUUUUUUAGUUUUAUUCUUUUUUUAAAAAAAAAAAAACAGGAAAAAACUUGCAAAGAAAUAGAAUUACUGGAAUGAACACAAUAAAAGAUGAAACUCAAGCAAUUAAAAAUAAAUUAUCUAUGAUGAUCAUGUCUGUGUCACACUCAAUGAGGUAAUCACUAUUACAAUAUUAAAUAAAUAAAUAAAAGCUAAAAGAACUAGGUUUUUGGUGGCAUCCAGAGUGCGGUUACUUUCUUCAUCCUUCUUUUGUGGUUUUAUUUUAUUUCAGUCCUUCAAAUCUUUUUCUUUUGCUAUUUCAUCGAGUUGCUUUGCUCUUGAGUUGAUGUGCUUGCCCUAGAAUAUGCAUUAUGCUAGGGAUUACAAUUACAUUACAUAAGAAAUUAUACUUACAGAUUAUAAUUAAAAUUUUCAGUUUUUUUUAAACAAAUUUAUGAGAAAGUACCAAUAUUACAACGUGAGUAAAUGAUAGGAGAAUUUUAAAUCUUUUUGUGACAUGGUGACCAGCUGAUCCAAGUAACCAAUAGAUUAUCGCCACUUGUUCAACCUGAUCUGCACUUUAAGAUAGGGGUAGUCAUAACUAUUCCUCGUUUUGUUUGAGGAAAAAUAAUUUUUUUAAAAAUAAAUUUUAAAUUUUUCUAUAUUUAUUUGCUAUUAAAAAAAUUAAUCAAUAAAAAAUAUUUUUUAGUAAAAAAAAUUAGUUUUAUUUUUUAAAAAGUAUUUUUCUUUUAUUUUAGGCGGAAAAUACUUUCCAGAAAUUGUGAAAAAUUUAGAAAUAUCAUAUUAUUUGUUGAUUAUAACAAAUUGGAUCCUCAAACUUUUAAUUGCUAUAUAUUUUGUUUUGAAUAUUUUUGUUUUCAAUUUCAUCUGUUAUAAUUUGAUUUUAUAUUAAAUUUGAUCCUUAUUUUUAUGAUUGUUAUUUGUUUUUCUCUUUUUAUUUUUUUAAUUGAAAUUUUUUAUUUAUCAAAUUUGAUCAUCAUUCUUUUGAUUGUUAUUUAUUCUAUUUGAAAUAAUUUAUGAAUAGAGGGAGAGGUUGUUGGAGGCAGAAAAGGAAAGACUACGAUACUAUUUUUCUCUAUAUUUUGAGUUUUAGUUGUUAACAGCCAUGCUCGUUUGAUUUUAUUUUAUUUUUAUUUAUUUUUUUCAUGCUCUUGCAGAUAAGGCAGGAAAGGAGGACCUGAAAUCACGACAGCGAAUAAGGAGAGAAAUAGCGUGUUUGUUUUUUAUUUUUGAAAUUAUUUUUUUAUAAAAUUAUUUUUUUAUUCUAAAUUAAUUUUUUGUAUUUUUAAAUUGAUAUUAAAAAUAAUUUAAAAAAUAAAAAAAUAUAUUAUUUUAAUAUAUUUUUAAAAUAAAAAAUAUUUUUAAAAACAACUACUUAUUCAAUCACUUAAAAUAAAAACCUUAAAAUCACGGCAUGAUAAAAGGAGGAAGAAAGGAAUGGGACAAAGGAGGAAGAAAAUAAGGUCACGUAUAAAAUAGAAGAUGAAAAUUAGUAUGAAAAAGAGGCUAUUUGUUUUUUUAAUGUGUCAGAGUGGUUUUUAUAAUUAUAUUUAAUUUAUAAAAAUAUUAAAUUAAUAUAUUUUUAAAUAUUUCUUGUUAUUAUUAUAUAUAUAUAUAUAAUAUUCUAAUAUUUUUUUAAAUAAAAAAUUAUUUUAAAAAAAUAUGUGUCACAAUACUAAAUUAUAGUACAAAUUAAAAUAUAAAAGAGUUUUCUAUUACUAUUUACCAAGACUUAUUUUGUUGUGGAUGUGGAUAUUAAUAGUGAAUUUUUUUAAAAUUUUCAAUUUGAUAUUUGAAUUUUUUUUUUUCAUAAUCGAAUCUCUUUAUGCCCAAAUUAAAACUCAAUUGCAUUUUGUUUUUUAAGUAUAAGAGUUGAAUUCAAAGAUAGAUGACUGAAAUGAAAAACUUGGUAAAAAUAUGCGGCGACAUUGUAAUUGUUUGCAAAGUUCAUUUUAGUCCCUUAUCUUUUUGAGCUACUAAGUAACAUGUCCCUAUAAUUUCUCAACAUUACAUUUUAUCCAGAAUCUCAGAUUAUGCUCUACGGACUAAACUAAAUUUUUCAUAAAUUGAGAGACCAAACUGAAAUUUAUCAUUUUCAAUCUUAAACCUAGAAUUUUCACAUAUCACCUACUGAUAUAACAAGAUUUCUAACUCAAAUUCACCAUUUAAACAAACCAUAACUCAAAAUCAUCAUUUUUACUUAAAGUCUUUCAAAAUCAACUAAAUAACUCAUUAUUCAUAACAAUCAACACAUAAUAUUCAAAUCAAUUCAUCAAUCAAACCCAAAACACAAUCUUCAAAACUCUAAUAUUCAACAAAACAGAAAAUUAAAGCUAAGAAAAACACAUUUAUACACAUCAAAGCGUAAAUAUUCUUACAUUUUAAUUUAUUUUCUCUAACUCUCUUAUCCUUUUGUUUAUCUUUUUCUCUUUUCUCUUUUUCUUCUUUCACUCUCACGGUUUUUUCUCUAAGAAUUCAAAUCUUUCUCUUUUUUAUUCUAUUUAUAUUUAUGAACUCUUUGUUCAAUUACUACAAUAUCGUUCAUUCAUUUAUACCUACUUUUAAGCCUCCAAGAGUUUUGUUGUUUUUUUCUAUUCUCUUUUAUUUCCAAAUCAUCACAAUAAAAUUGUUUUCUUUUUAUUAAGCUGCUAAUUUAUGCAGCUUUAGCUCUUGUUCUCUCUUCUUGUCUUGCUAUUCUGAUUUUAUCUUUUUCUUUACAUGAUAUAAGAGCAGGUUCUUACCUCUUGAAGUCUGCUGGAUAAACCUAUCAGCAGAAGAUCCUGAAGCGAUCCCAAAUCACAGCUUCAAUCCCCACCACAACCAAUCUCCUCUUUCCCGUAGUCUGUCGUCCUCAAUUGGGAAAUGAUCUCAAAAAAUCACUUGAUGCAACAAGUAGGGUAGAGAAAUAUAAGACUUCAACAAAGAAUCAAACUCAAAAAAAUAAAAGUAAUUGUCUAUGAGAAGCAUUUCUGUGUCACACACUCAAGUAAUAUGAUUGACCUAUUACAUUAUACAAAUUAACAAUAAUAAUAAUAAUAAUAAUAAUAAUAAUAAUAAAAGAACUAGGUUUUUGAUGGCAUCCAGAGUGCUGUUACUUUCAAACAAAGAGGCUUGUGCAUGCGGUGUUAUGCUGUUCGUGUAGGCUAAGAUCUCCUAUGAAUACAUUUGUAAAAUCAUACAAUUGUAUUCUUUUUAUUAAGCUGCUAAUUUAUGCAGCUUUAGCUCAUAUUCUCUCUUCUUGUUUAGCAAUUCUGAUCUGAUCCUUUUCUUUGCAUGAUAUAAGAGCAGGUUCUUACCUCAUGAAGUCUGCUGGAUGAACCUAUCAGCAGAAAAUCCUGAAUCAAUCCCAAAUCACAGCUUCAAUCCCCACCACAAUUACCAAUCUCCUCUUUCCUGUAGUCUUUCGUCCUCAAUUGGAAAAUGAUCCAAAAUCAACAACCAGUUCGGAGAUAGUCUGUGUGAAAAUAAACGGCUGAGAGAUGAAAUGUGAAGGUUAUGGUGAGAAAUUAGAUGACAAACUUACUUUGUCCUACUAAUGCUUUUGCUUUCAUUGUUUCAACAAGUAAAAGAGACAUAAGCAUAAUCAUAAGAAUCCUGUUUUUUCUAUUUUUUUCACCUAUUUAUACAUCAAAAAAUGGCAGUUUUUCUUGUCCUUUCUUUUUAAAAUCUUAUGCCUUGGGUGAGGAAAUUAGUGGAGCAUAAGACGUUUUAAAAGACAACAAAAAGAAGCAAUGUCUCAUCUUUUGAUAUGGUGGUCUUCCAUGAUCAGUUUGUUGAUGAAGAUAUCGAAAGAUUCGAGUCUCCGUUCUAGCUCAGGUUGGAAGCUAGGCCGAAGGCUAAGCUUCUUUUAAUUAUGAAUUGUUUAUGCAAAGGAAACCCAGAAGCUUGAACAAACAGAAAUGCCUUGUUGAUUUCUCUGCUACUACUCAUUAUUUCCAAUAUUAUUCCAUUAUCUUACCCGAAAGCAAUUAUACAAGAAAUUUCAUUAUCCUGCCCCAAAGGCAAUUUAUUACAAGGACUUCCUUUAACCUCCUUGAAGGCAAUUUAUUUGAUGAAAAUUCCUUUAAUCCACCUCAAAGACAAUUUAUCUUAGGGAAUUCCAACGACCCAGGCAAUUUAUUUGCUGAAAUUCCUUUAACCUCCUUGAAGGCAAUCAAGAUUUUAAAUUAAAAACCAUCUAGGUGGUGGCCCAGUGGUAAGAACCUGGGACCAAGAGGUUUGCUCAUCUGCAUAAUUAAAUAGUACUGUUACUGUAAACUACUAGGAAAUUCAUGCGUAGAGCCAAAAUGUUAACAAUAGCACAACGACCCAGGCAAUUUAUUUGCUGAAAUUCCUUUAACCUCCUUGAAGGCAAUCAAGAUUUUAAAUUAAAAAGCCAAAAAUGAACGCAUCUACUCUUGCAAGAAUGGACUCAAAAGGUCAGCUAAUCCGCAUAAUUAAAUAGUACUGUUACUGUAAACUACUAGGAAAUUCAUGCGUAGAGCCAAAAUGUUAACAAUAGCAUUGAUUCGGUCAGGGGCUCUGGUGUAUAGAGAGGACCUUGCCGUUAGAAACUAUGAACCCACUAUUUAUUAAUCCAUUUCUAUUUAGUACUAUUUACUAUUUAUUUAUUUUUAUUUACUAUAUUUCUGUAUGUGAUACCUAAGUACCAAUAAAAUUUGAGAUUCCUUCAAUUUUUUAGGUGCAUGUACAAAAUCAAUUCAAGAGUGUGUAUCCUUAACUAUAUAUCAGGCUAACCUUUACAGGCUGAGCUAGCAAUCGAUAAUUAAUUUUUAAUGAAUUCAUUUUUUAUUUAAAAUAAGGAAAAGGACAUUGUUACACCUUAACUAUUAUAAUUGUUACACCUUACCAAAGGGUUAAUUUAGAAAAAAAUUAUCAACUUACAGGUCACUGGCCGAGGUCAACUUAUGAUUAAGUAGAUCAAUUUAAAUUAAUUAUUUUUAUUAAAAUGAUAAUGUUUUGUUUUUUUUUUUCUUGAUAUUAAUUUGGCUAAUUUUUAUCAAAUCAAAUCACUAAAAACUUAAUCAAAUUAAAUUUCAUCAAAUCAAUAAUAUUUGAUGUAGUUGAAUUUUAUAUAUAUAUAUAAAUAUUUGAAAAUAAUUUAAAAAUGAUGUUUUCAUUAAUACCCAUUCUCAAUGUUUUUUUUGCCUUAUUUAGCUUUUUUUUCAAUUAGUUUUAAUUUUAUUAGCUUGGUUUAGUUUUUUAAGAGGUUAAUAUGAUUUAUUUGUAAUUUGUUUUAUAUAUUUCAGAUAUAUUAAGUAUUUUUUUUAUGUGUGUGUCAAUUUCUUUUAUAUAUUUAUUUUAGUAAAUAAAUUUAUUAAAUAUAACCAGAGAAAUGACUUUUUUAAUCUAUAUUUGUUUCUUAAUUUCUUAAUUUUUCCACCUGCUUUUUUAACUAUUGAUAAUGACUUUUUAUUAUUAUUAUUAUUCACACAAUAUAGUGCUGACACCCGCAGGUUGAGACUUGAGUAAACGAAAAUGAAAUAUUUUGGGUGUCUAUCUCCUAGUUAUGGUAUUAUUAAUAUUUGAGGGUUUUGAUUUGGAAUAAUUAGUGAAGAUUUAAUUAGAACUUAGCCAUGUACUUUAUUAAAAUUAAUUAUUUAGUCCUUAAAGUGUCAUGGAUAAUUAAAAAGUCUAUUAACUAGUGUUGACCACCCUCCAUUUACUAUGUUUUUCUCUAAAAAAUGCCUUCCUUCCUAAUGAAAUUUCCGCAACUGCAUCAGAUGUUUAUUCCCGUUCAAAUGCUCGCAACAGGGAAAGCAUAUGAUAAAGAGAAUGGAACAAGAUUCUUGUCUAUGGAGGGAAUCAAUGCUUCAACUUGCCUUGUGAUUUGCUUUAAUAAGAUUUUUUUUUAUAUAAAAAACAACUUUUAAAUUAUAAUUAAAAGUAAAAUAUCAUAAAUUUAUUUUAUAUUAAAAACCGAAUUCAUUAAACAUAACCAGGGUUGUUUAUUUUUUGUAAUGACUUUGUUUUUUAUUUAUUUAUAUAAUAAUUCAUGAUUUAUUUAAUUCGAUGCGUGCAUAAGUUUUUUAAUUUAUAUUUAGAAUUUUUCUUAAUGUAAAAAAAACAUGUUCAUAAAUUUUUAUUUUUAUGAUUUCAGUUUGAUUCUUAUUUUUAUGAUUUUUUAUGUUUUUUCCUUAUCCUUUUAUAAAAGUUUUUUUGUUUAUAAUUUCACCCUUCAAUUCAAUAUGAUGGAGUAAUUUUUUUUUUCAUUUUUUGCUUUAUAUUGUUGCCUCUCUCCUUUUGGGAAUAUUGUUGCCUCUCUCCUUUUUUUUUUUUUUUUUUCAUUUUAUCAGCUUUUGCAUGUGGAAUAUUGAGUCUUCUAUUUUUUAUCCACAGAAUUGAAUCCUUUAUAUAUUCUUAAAACUAGAUUUGAAUUCUAAUGAAGGAAUAAUAAAGAUUGUUGCAUGUACAAAUUCUCCUUCAAAAAAAUAUAAUAAAGUAUCAUGGAUUUAAGUAUAACUUAGCCCUGUAAUUUAUUAAAAUUAAUUAUUUAGUACGUCCUUAAAGUAUCAUGGAUAAUUAAAAAGUCUAUUAACUAGUGUUGACCACCCUCCAUUAAUUAUAUUUUUCUCUAAAAAAUGCCUUCCUUCCUAAUGAAAUUUCUCCAACUGCGUACUUUUCUUUUCCUUAUUCUAAUUUUUAAGAAAGAAGAAAAAACAUAUUAAUUGGAAAAGAACUAAACAAUAUGUAACUUUAAAAAUAUAAGAAUUAAACAUAUAGUUAUUGAAACUAUGGGAUUAAUUAAUUAUUGUUAUCAAAUUAUAGAGAAUAAAUUAUAAUUGAAUAAGUGUUUGUGUGGAGGAGUGUUUGCAAAUACCAUGGGAGAUGCGAUUUGUAUUAUUAAUUUAGUUGUUGGUAUAAUAGUCCAAAUAUUGUGACGACCAUUUUAUAGAAAUGAGCACAAUGUUUUUAGAAUAUUUAUAAAAAUUGACUUAAACCAAUCAAAAAAAUGAUUUUUGAGUUUGUUAAACAAUUUUAAUAAAAAUAAUAAAAAUAUAAAAUAGAAUUGAAUUGGUUGGAUAUGACCCAAACUAAAUUAAAUAAAAAAACUUAACCAAGCUAUAUUUCAAUGAUCUUGGUAUGGAUUUGUUUUUAUAAAAAAAACAUGUUCAUCCUUUUUUAAACUUCUUGUGGCCUGUUCAUUCAUACUUUAUUAAUAUUUAAAUUAUUUUUUUAUAUUUUUUAAAUUUGUUUUAAUGUUAUGAUAUUUUUUAAUUUUGUUUUGAUUGAUACAUAAAAAUAUUGUUUUUAUUGAUUAAAUUUUAUUUGGAAUUAUUGUUGAUAUUACAAAGACUUAUUUAUUCCUAUUCAGUUGAUAAUGACUACUUAGAUUUUGUAAAAAGAGUUACUUUCUUUAAUAGCCAAUUGAAUGAUUUUUUAUGAGAAAAAUAAAACAUCUUUUGAUGUGAAAAAAAGACACCAUGCACCGUCGUGUGAUACGAUGCUUUUUUUCUUGUGGCAUGUUUUUGAUGCUUUUGAUACGAUGUUCUUCCAGGAAUUUUUUAUCUUUUUAUUAGGCGGUCUAAGAUGCACAGUCGUGUGUGUGUCUAUAUAUAUAUAUAUAUAUAUAUAUAUAUAUGUAUGUAUAUAUAUAUAUAAGUCAUCGAUGCAUGUUUUUAUUUGGUAUUCAAUUCAAUUUCAUAAACAUUACUUUACUCUCUAAUUAAAUUGCUGCAACUAUAUAUAUUAUACCCUUAACCAGACUAUUAGUUUACCAUUCCUGACUAGCUAUCGUAUCCUUUUGGCAAGAAUCAUUGCCAAUUACUUUAUUCGUAGUAUGUAAGAGUCAUUAUCCAACCAUUUUCAAUUCCAUUUCAAAUCACUUUCUUUGAUAAAUUAGUUUAUAAAAUAUUUUUACAAAAACUCCAUACCAUACAUCUAAACAUCACAUAUGUUCAAAUUAAUUUGAACAUAGCAAGUGUUAUAUCUUCUUUUAAAGAUUGUAAAGGACAAAUAUACAAUUACAUUUUCCUUUUUGGGUCUCAAUUACAUUUGCAUUUACAUAUUGUUCACCUAGUAAUUUCUUUUAUAAAAUUUAUAAUAAACUCAAAAAAAUAAAUAGUACGAGAAACAAAGUUGAUAGACCCAACCGAGAACAUGCUCACGAGUUUAAAUAUCUUAAUUUUAGUUUGUAGAACAUAAAGAGAAAUAGAAUUGAUCCAUUAUUUUGUUUGCAGAACAUAAAUGAGAAAGCAACGUCAAUAUAUAAACUUAAUUAAUAAAUAUAUAGUUGGUUUUGUUUUACAAUAAAGAAUUAUUUUGUUCUAUAAAAGAGUAAUUGAAUUUUAUAAAUAAAAACACGAAAUUAUUUAUUUCCAUGCAAGAUGAAGUCAAGAUUCACCACUUAUUUGUGUGAGGCAAAAUAAUAAUAAUAAUAAUAUUAUUAUUAUUAUUAUUGUUAUUGUUAUUGAAUAAGAUGAAGUCAAGAUUCACCACUUAUUUCCAUGCAAGAUGAAGUCAAAUUUCAAAGUUCCCUUUACAAAUCGGUUGGAUAUGGCCCAAACUAUAUUAUACCCUUAACCAGACUAUUAGUUUACCAUUCCUGACUAGCUAUUGUAUCCUUUUGGCAAGAAUCAUUGCCAAUUACUUUAUUCGUAGUAUGUAAGAGUCAUUAUCCAACCAUUUGGUAUUCAAUUUCACGUUCUUUGAUAAAUUAGUUUAUAAAAUAUUUUUACAAAAACUCCAUACCAUACAUCUAAACAUCACAUAUGUUCAAAUUAAUUUGAACAUAGAUAGCAAGUGUUAUAUCUUCUUUUAAAGAUUGUAAAUGACAAAUAUACAAUUACAUUUUCCUUUUUGGGUCUCAAUUACAUUUGCAUUUUCAUAUUGUUCACCUAGUAAUUUAUUUUAUAAAAUUUAUAAUAAACUCAAAAAAAUAAAUAGUACGAGAAACAAAAACAAGAAACAAAAUUGAUAGACACAACCGAGAACAUGCUCACAAGUUUAAAUAUCUUAAUUUUAGUUUGCAGAACAUAAAGAGAAAUAGAAUUGAAUAUGAUGAUGAUGAUUUCUUUUUUCAUUUUCAGGAGACCUAUAAUAGCCGGUUGAGGGAGAGAUAUGGGGACGAUCCUUUGACCCUCCGGAUUUCGAUCCGGAUUUGUGGAUGGAGGUCGGAUCGUUCGGUGGACUCGAUAAAAAUCGGCUGUACGGGCUCUCCAACACUACGACCGAGAACUUGCGGUCGGCCCGUAGUGUCUCAACUGUUGGGAGCUCCAAAUCAGUAUCGAGCACCCAAUCUGAGGAUAUCAUGACCUUGAAACAACACACAGCUAAUCUCACCGAGAAAUACGAGCAACUCUUGGCAAAUUAUGAUCAACUCCGCCAAAUUGUCAUGAACAUGACUUCACAGAGUGGUGCUACAUGUCCGCCCCCUUUUUGGCCGUAUAACAACCAGCCUCCUCCUCCUCCUCCUCCAACUCCGCCAUUGUGCUAAUUUAAUAUUUUUUUGAAACACAUUCAAUUUGUAAUGAAUAUUAUUUAACACUAUUUUUUUGUUCUUAAUGUUUAAUAAAAUUUUAUUUGCAUAAUUGGUUUUUUUACUAUUAAUUUAUAUAAUUUUAUGUUAUUUAUUCUAAAUCAUUUUUAAUUUUUUUAAAAUACCCACCGAGGGAUUUACCGACGGAAUGUAUCACCGACGAAUUUACAGACGGAUAACGUUCGUCGGCCUUUCACCGAUAGCUAAAAAAUAUUUACUAUAUAUGCCACUAUCACCGACGGAAUAAAUUCGUUGGUAAGGUUCCAGCGGGAAGUUUUUUUUUUGGCGUGCAAUUUCCGUUUGUAAAACCAUCGAUAAUAUUUUUUUUACCGACAACCUUAGCGACGGAAUGCGGUAUUACCGACAAACAUUAUGCCGACGGACGUUUUUCGUUGGCGAUUUAGUCGGUAAAAAAAUUACUGACAAACUCUGAAUCUCAUACCGACGGAAUAUGUCCGUCGGUAAAACUGUGAAAUCUUGUAGUGAUUUAGAUUUGGGUUGGUUUUUUAUUUUUAAAUCAAUUAAAUGUUUAUUUAAGAUCAUGAAUGGACUUAUUGAGGUACCUUUUACCUAUAGCUCACUUUGAUACCCCCUCCGAUAUAUCUAACUCUUCAAUAAAGGAGCAAUUUUUCAUUACAUUCAGCACAAUAUUUAUUUCUCUAACAUGUAUGAAGAUGGCACGAGUUAAAAUGAUUGUGUAAAUUAAUUUACAAUAACGAGGCCUUCGUAUAUAGUAAUUUAUCCCAGACAAGAUGACUAAAGUACUCAAAAGAUUCAAGUAGACGUUGUUUUAACACCUUGAAGGAUUCUGAAAUUCUGCCUUGCUCGAACGCGCACAAAAUUUGCCUUUUCUUUUAUUCCUAAUCGGAUUCGUAUGCAUGCAAAAUUAAAUCACCUUGAAAACUCUUAAUCUCUAUCUCGGCUUUUAAAUAUAUAAUUUAUAGCCAUUGUAAAUUCACAAAAAAAUAUUGAUUUUUUUUUUAAUCUCUUGGGUUAUAAUAACCAUAUCUAUCCGGUGUUGUUUAUUGAAAUAUUUUUCAGUUAUUUUGGAUGAGUAUAAAAUGAAUUCAUAGUUUUUGAACUACAAAACCUAAGUUUUAUCUUGCAAACACCCCCAAAAACUUUUAGUAUUCUCAAAAACUCAAUUUUCAAUCAUAAAAUACCUUCUAAUUAGCCUAAAUGUGAAAAUCAAACCUAAUAAAAAAAAUUAUGGGUCUAAUAUACUUUUUCUAGCACGGUUAAAUGACAAGAUCAUUUUAAUCGAACUUCUUUUUUCAAGAUGAAUCUAUUAAUAUUAAAAUCGGAUUUUUUAGAUCAAAAUAUAAUCAGUCAAAUCCUUUUUUUUCUCCAUUUUCUGACCACAUUCUCUCCCUCCUCUCAAUAUUCAAUAACUUAAAAUAUAAUAAAAAUGAAUUUUUAAGAUUGAAUCAUAAAAAUUUAAAGCUAUAGAAUUAAAUAAAUCUGAAAAACAAAAACUUCAAGAACCAUAUUAAAUUUUUCUGCAACUUCUAAAAGGAUUGCAUUAUAGGAGAAUAGUUUAAUGCAUGAUAACUUGAGUCUUGCUACACAAUAAAAUUUGUUACAGUAAGAAUAACAAAUGUUUUAAUUUAGAAUAUAACUAGUUAGGUGCUCACACUACAUCGCGGGUUCACAUUUUAUUUUCAUAAAAAAUAUCAUAAAAAUUUAUAAUACAAAUAAUAAUAUUUUUUCAAUAUUAAUAAUCAUAUUUUUUCAAAUUUAUUAAUAAUAUUUAUAACACAAAUAAUAAUUUUUUUAUUAUAAUUGUAUUAAUUAUAAUAAAAAUAAAAUAUUUAUAACAUAAAUGAUAAUAUUUUUAAUAGUAAUACUAUUAAUUAUAAUAAAAAUAAUAAUAUUUAUAGCACAAAUGACACUAUUUUUAAUAUUAAUACUUUAAAUUAUAAAAAAUAUAUAUAUUUAAAAUACAAAUAAUUAUAUUUAGAAACCUAAAACCUAAGAACCUUGGGUUUUGAUAAAGGAUCCAAUAGAAUUAGGUUCUGACGCAAGACCCUUUAAGCUUGGGUCUUGAUACGGGACUCAAGACAAUCGGGUCCUGACACAGGACCCGAUUCGAAAGGUAAAAAUAUAAAUUAUUGUUCUUAUUAUCAUUAUUAUCAAUAAUAAAUUUGACAUAAAAUAUUAUUACCACCAAAGAAAAACUAUAUAGUUGAUUUGAAGGAUAAAAUUAAUAUUAAUAAUAAUAAUAAUAAUAAUAAUUAUUAUUAUUAUUAUUAUUAUUAUUAUUAUUAUUAUUAUAUGUGCUAUAGAUAUUAUUAUUUUUAUUAUAAUUGAAGGUAUUAAUAUUAAAAAUAAUAUUAUUUGUGUUAUAAGUAUUAAUAUUUCUAUUAUAGUUCAAAGUAUUAUUAUUUAUGGUAAAAAUAUUAUUAUUUUUAUUAUCAUUGAAGGUAUUAAUAUUAAAAACAGUAUUAUUUAUGGUAUAAAUAUUAUUAUUUAACUUGUCUGCCUAAAUGUUUAUAUUUUUGAGUCUUUAAAAAACAAUUGUGGUUUUUCUUCGAUAGUAAUAAUAGUUUUUUUUAAUUUAUUGAUGAUGAUGAUGAUGAUAAUUUUUAAUUUUACCUUUCAAAAUAAAAUUUAUGGUUGUUUUUCAAUAUUACUAAUAUUUGUUUUUCAAAUUUAUUUAUUAUUUUAUUAAUAAUAUUAAUUAUAAUUAAAAUAAUAAUAUUUAUAAGACAAAUAAUAAUAUUUUUAUUAUAAUAAAAAUAAUAAUAUUUAUAACACAAAUGAUAAUAUUUGUAAAUUCACAAAACAAUAUUGAUUUUUUUUUAAUCUCUAGGGUUAUAAUAACAAUAUCUAUCCGGUGUUGUUUAUUGAAAUAUUUUUCAGUUAUUUUGGAUGAGUAUAAAAUCAAGUCAUAGUUUUUGAACUACAAAACCUAAGUUUUAUCUUGCCCCAAAAACUUUUAGUAUUCUCAAAAACUCAAUUUUCAAUCAUAAAACACAUUCUAAUUAGUCUGAAAGGUGAAAAUCAAACUUAAUAAAAAAAAUUAUAAGUCUAAUAUACUUUUUUUAGCAUGGUUAAAUGACAAGAUUAUUUUCAUCGAACUUCUAUUUUCAAGACGAAUAUUAAUAUUAAAAUCAGUUUUUUUAGAAGGGAAUAUGAUUAGUCAAAUCCUUUUUUUUUCUUCAUUUUCUGACCACAUUCUCUCUCUCCUCUCAAUAUUCAAUAACUAAAAAUAUAAUAAAAAUAAAGUUUUAAGAUUGAAUCAUAAAAAUUUAUAGGAUUAAAUAAAUCUGAAAAACAAAAACUUCAAGGACCAUAUUAAAUUUUUCUGCAUCUUCUUAAAGGAUUGCAUUAUAGGAGAAAAGUUUAAUGCAUGAUAACUUGAGUCUUGCUACACAAUAAAAUUUGUUACAGUAAGAAUAACAAAUGUUUUAAUUUAGAAUAUAAAUAGUGGGUUCACUUUUUUAUAUAUAUAUAAAACAUAUCAUACAAAUAAUAAUAUUUUUUCAAUAUUAAUAAUAAUAUUUUUUCAAUAUUAAUAAUAAUAUUUUUUCAAAUUUAGUAAUUAUUUUAUUAAUAAUAUUUAUAACACAAUUGAUAAUAUUUUUAAUAUUACUACUAUUAAUUAUAAUAAAAAUAAUUAUAUUUAUAGCACAAAUGACACUAUUUUUAAUAUUAAUACUUUAAAUUAUAAUAAAAAUAAUUAUAUUUAAAAUACAAAUAAUUAUAUUUAGAAACCUAAAACCCAAGAACCUUGGGUCUUGAUGAAGGACCCAAUAGAAUUGGGUUCUGACGCAAGACCCUUUAAGCUUGGGUCCUGAUACUAGACUUAAGACAAUCGGGUCCUGACGCAGGAACCAAUUCAAAAACGGAUAAUUCCAACUCUGGCGUUGGUAACUAUUACGUAGCUAUAAAAUAAAUUUAGAUCAAUAUUUUUUUAUUCCUAACUUUAAAGCUAUUGAAUAAAAAAAUAAACUAAAUUCAUCUUAUUACGCAUUCACAUAUUUUUUAUUUCUUAUGUAGUUAAAUAAAAAAACAAAAAAAACAAUUAAAUCAGUGUUUUUAUUCAUGACUCUAGCGUCAGUGAAUAAACAAAAAAAAUAUUAUUUUUUCAUACAUGCACAUAUUUUUUUUUGCUAAAUAAAAUAAAAUAUAACGAAUAAAAAUAAUAUAAAUUUAAACCAGUAUUUUAUUCCCGACUCUGGCGUUGGUAAAUAAAUCAGUAAAUUUAUAUUAUUUUUAUUCAUGAAUACACAUAUUUUUUUAUUUUUUUAUUUUUUAUUUUUUUGGGGCUGGGCCCAGCUCAGCCCACAUGGGCUGGGCUAGCCCAGCCGGCCCAGCCCGGUCACUGGCCCAAGCCAGUGACCCGGCUGGGUCACAGCACGCAUGAACUAGUUUCAUGCGUGCAUGGCGCUGCGCGAAGGUAAUUAAUUACCUUCGCACACUGCUAAAUGCACUGAACUUUCGAAAGUUAAAAAACGAAGAAAACAGAGGAAGCUUACCUUGUUGCAGGUUGCUUCGCCGGAGUGUCAGCGUGUCGGGCGACGAUCAGUGGUGGCGUCCGUCAACAGUAAGCUAUAAUUCCUCCUUCGACCUCUGCCUUACUGCCCUCUGUUUCCUCUGCCCUCGUCUGAAAAAUUAUUCAUGUGCUCUGUUUUUCAAAUUCUCUCUACUCUCUCUCGGUUUGUUUCUGUUUUCGUUGUUUUAAGGCCGGUAUUGGUGAGGGAAAGGUUCACUUCUGGUAUGGGGUUCUAAAAAAAACUUAAAAAUUCGGCUGGUAUCUUUGUGUUUCUCUCUUGGGGUUUCGUUCGUCCCUCUCUCUCUCUAGCCAACCCCUGUUCUUCGGUGCUCCUCGGUUUAUAUAGAGCUCGGGCGGUAGGCUGAGGGUCGACCACCAUUAAGGCGCCCCUAACUGAAGCCAACGGACGACGAUUACUGCUGCAACGUUCUCCCUCCUUUACUGUAGAAAACGGUCACUGGCUUAAAGGAGAAGAAGAUGAACAGCGUCUUCAAAACGACGCCGUUUGGGAUAUGAGAUGGCCAUUUGCGUUUUGACCCGUGAAGUUUCGCAACUUUUAUAAUUAAGCCCCUGGUUUAAACUGUAAUUUCUCCUGCAUUUCGGCGCCUUUUACAAGUUAGUCCUUGGACUUUAAUCUGUUGCAAUCGUGCCCUAAUUAACCCCAAACUUUGCUAUUUCUUCAAUUAAGUCCCUAAGUUCAUUAAUUUAAUUCAAUCCAAGUCCAAUUAAGUCUCAAAACUUAUCAAUUAUCCAAUUAAGCCCCUGAUUGGAUUAAUUAAAUUAAUUCCAAGAUUAAAUAAGUCUCAAAACGUAUCAAUUUUCCAAUUAAACCCUUGAUUGGAUGAAUUAAAUUAAUUUCAAGCUUACUUAAGUCUCAAAACUUAUCAAUUCUUCAAUUAAAUCCUUGAUUGGAUUUAAUUAAAUUAAUUCCAAGUUUAAUUAAGUCUUAAAACUUAUCAAUUCUCUAAUUAAACCCUUGAUUUGAUUAAUUAAACAAGUAAAAAAUUUAAUUUAAAUCUUUAAACUUCCAAUCAUGUUACCCUUAACCCAAAUUUUAAUUCAUUCUUCAUUUAUUUCAUUUUUAUUAUUUAUUUUUCAUCAUCAUUAUUAUAUUUUUUUUCAUUAUUUUUCUUUUUAUCAUUUUCCAGUAAAUAAAAUAAUAAUAAUAAUUAAAAUAAAAUGGUCAAAAAUUGGGUUAUGACAACAUCUAUGGAAAUUCAAUCAUUUAAAAAAAUUCGGCAGCACCUCCCCUGUACUGAAGACUACCCACAAUUUAUAAACCUGCAAUCUUUACAAUAACCACAAUCCAAUUGACUCCAGCAACAUAAUAUAUACAACCUAACAUCUAUGAAAAUUCAAUCAUUUAAAAAAAUUCGACAGCACCUCCUAUAUAUUAGAGACUAUCUACAGUUUUCAUACCUACAAAUAUUAAUAAUUACACAAAUAUUGCAAAAUCAACUCUAUACAACCUAACAUAUAUAUACAACCUAACAUCUAUAGAAAUUCAACAUCUAUAUUUUUUCAACUAACAUCAAUAGAAAUUCAUAAAUAACAAUUAAAAUUAAUCAAAAUAAUAAACAACAUAACAAACAAUAAUAUCCUAAAAUUAAGAUAAACUAAUUAAACUUAAUUCUAUAUUUCAAUUAACAUUUUAAAUAUAAAUUCAACAACAAUAAUUAUUGCAAAACAAACAAUAAUAUCCUAAAAUUAAGAUAAACUAAUUAAAUUUAAUUCUAUAUUUCAAUUAAUAUUUUAAACAUAAAUUCAAUAACAACAAUUAUUGCAAAACAAACAAUAAUAUCCUAAAAUUAAGAUAAACUAAUUAAAUUUAAUUCUAUAUUUCAAUUAACAUUUUAAACAUAAAUUCUUAAAAUCUAUUGUUUUUUUUCAAUAUUAAUAAUAUUUUUUUUUCAAAUUUAUUUAUUAUUUUAUUAAUAAUAUUAAUUAUAAUUAAAAUAAUAAUAUUUAUAAGACAAAUAAUAAUAUUUUUAUUAUAAUAAAAAUAAUAAUAUUUAUAACACAAAUUAUAAUAUUUUUAAUAUUAAUACCUACAAUAAUAAUAAAAUAAUAAUAUUUAUAAGACAAAUUAUAUUAUUUUUCAUAUUAAUACUUUUAAUUAUAAUAAAAAUAAUAAUAUUUAAAAUACAAAUAAUUAUAUUUAGAAAGCUAAGACCCAAGAAGGAUCCAAUAGAAUUGGGUCCUGACGCAAGACCUAUUAAGUUUGGGUCCUGACGCCGGACCUAAGACAAUCGGGUUCUGAUGCUGGAUUCAAGAGAAUUUGGUCCUGACGCAUGACCCAUUACCCUUAGGUCCUAACACAGGACCCAAGCGAAUUGGGUCCUGACGCAGGACCCAUUAGAGUUGGGGUCCUAGGGCAGGAUUUAAGAGCAUUGAGUUCUAACGCAAACCAAUUACCAUUGGAUCCUAGUGCACGACCCAAGUGAAUUGUGUCCUGAGACAGGACCUAUUAGACUUGGACCCUUAGGCAGGAGCCAAGAGCAUUGGGUCCUGGCGCAUUUGAAAUAAAAUAUUAUUACCACCAAAGAAAAACCAUAUAGUUGAUUUGAAGGAUAAAAUUAAAAAUUAAAAUAGUAUUAUUUGUGUUAUAAAUAUUAAUAUUUUUAUUAUAGUUCAAAGUAUUAAUAUAAAAAAUAUUAUUAUUUGUGUUACGAAGAUUAUUAUUUUUAUUAUCAUUGAAAGUAUUAAUAUUAAAAAUAAUAUUAUUUGUGGUAUGAAUAUUAUUAUUUGCGGUACAAAUAUUUUUAUUUUUAUUAUAAUUGAAAGUAUUAAUAUUCAAAAUAGUAUUAUUUGUGUUCUAAAUAUUAUUAUUUUUAUUAUAAUUCAAAGUAUUAAUAUAAAAAAUGCUCUUAUUUGGGGUAUAAAUAUUAUUAUUUUUAUUAUAAUUGAACUAAUAAUAUUUAGAAUAUAAAUUAUAAUAUGUUUGAUAUUAAUACUUUCAACUAUAAUAAAAAUAAUAAUAUUUAUACCCCAAAUAAUUAUAUUUAGAAACUUAAGACCCAAUAACCUAGGGUCUUGAUGCAGAACCCAUCAGCCUUGGAUCCCGACGCCGGACCACAGAGCAUUGGUCCUGUUGCAGGAUCUAAGAGUACUGGGUCUGGACGCAGGACCCAAGAGAACUGGUCCUGAUGCAGGACCCAUGAGCCUUAGGUCCCGACGCCGGACCACAGAGCACUGGUCCUGUUGCAGGAUCCAAGAGUACUGGGUCCGGACGCAGGACCCAAGAGAACUGGUCCUGAUGCAGGACCCAUGAGCCUUGGGUCUUGACGGGGACCCAAGAGAAUUGGAUCCUGACGCUGGACCCAUGAGCUUUGGGUCUCACUAGGGUUCGCGCUGACCCAGCACACAAGCAGGGAAGCCCGAGCGUAAGGUGUCCCCAUGUGGCGCGCGGGUCUGGCUCAGCGCCUAGGGCUUGCCAGCCCUAGCGCCAGGUGUUCGCAUCCCAAGGCUUGUAGCCCCACCAAAACUGGAACUGACCAUUUUCUCCCCAACCAUCCCUUCAAUGCCAAAUAUAUCCCAGUGAGAAGACAACCCCACCCCUCCCCUGCUGUCCUUGCAAAUCUAUGUGGCAAGGGCAACUUUGUCAUUACACUACUUUAAUCCACAAUAUUUUGUAUCUAGAUAAAUAGUAACAAGGGCACUGAACCUUUUUAGUAUAACAAGGAGAUUUCAAGAAGUAGUUAAAUUUAGGUUAUAUUAGAUACGACUUUUGUAAAUUGAUUUAAUUUAUUUUUUACUUUUGAUUUUAAUUUAUUUUGAAGUAUGUUAGUUAGAAUAGCUACCAGAUUAGGCAUGUAACUUAUGAAAGGGUUUGCAAGCAGAAAACAAUUAGAAAUCAGAGGAAGAUUUAGAGGAUAUAAUAUUUAGGAUCUCUAGCAAAAGCCAGCAAGGUAUCUGCUCGAAAAAACCAUUCAACAUGAGAUUGCUCUGCUAGGAAAACAUGAUAUCAGUAUCAAACUUUUGAACAAUUAGUACAGCAUCAAGUCUCAGUCAUCUUGAAAUAUAUCGACAUCAGCAUACAAAAACAUUUAUUCUGCAUUGCCAGGCCCAUUUCCAAAACCACAUAAGCAUAUGCAAUAGAAACAGAGCAUCAAACUGACAGAGAAAACAUAGUGAUGCAGCAAAUACCCAAGUCGUAGAGCCAUUAAUUUGAGCAGAAAGGAGAAUGAAAGUCCACACAUUCUUCUUCUUUCCACCCAUUAUCUCGGGUCCACUCUCUAUUAGUGCUUGAAUCCUCAGCUACUUCAGAUACCUGUAAACCAAUUCAAGCAUGGCAUACAUAUUUUAACUUCUAAAUCUUAUUAUUGAGCGAAACAAGAAACAAACACACAAAAAGAGAAGCAACAAAUCAAGACAACUCAGCAGCACCUCUGAUUGAGCUCUUAUUGAACCAUUUGGUGUAGUAGCAAAUUUUGUGAUCAGCUUUGGGCAUUCAAACACCUUCAACUUCUCUAAAUGAGGGAAUAAGAAAUCAUAACAUCCGAGACUGAAGCAUACAAUACUUGAUAAUUGUUCUAGCAACAGCACCUGCAGAUUCGGGAGCUCCAUCACCUUCUCAACAUUGACAGGUAAAGCAUUCUCUUCCUGUCCAAAUACUCCCAAUAAUUGAGAAGCUUCUCUUACUUUCAGUAUUUGGAGAUUUGGGAGACCUGAAGCCAUGCCUACUGGGAAGAGACAUUUCAACUUGUUGCAUUUUCUGACAUCAAUUUCACAUAAAUUGGGGAAGCAUAAAGAUUGAAGAUGAUCUCCUGGCACUAUCUGAUCCUUUCCAUCAUCAUUAUCCCUAGCAAUGAUUUGCUCUAAUUCCUCACAACUUUCUAUGUUUAGAAAAUUCAGUUGAACUAGACUAGCAAUCAUGCUGUCUGAGAAUACAUGUGUUAGUCUCUUACACUCAUACACCACCAAAGUAGUCAAAUUGCUCAGCACGAGACCCUUCCACAAACACCUCAUGUCAGGCACAAGCAGGGAGCCCAAGCGCAAUGUUUUCAAACUUGUUAACUCCUACAUCAAAAGACAACAAUGGCACUAAUUUGUUAGAUAUAAUUCCUAGUAUGUUUUGGUAAAUAGAUGAAUCAGUUAUCAACAAAAGGAUACAAGUAGACAUGGCAAAAGGGCAUUGGAAUAUGAAAUCAUAAGUUGCAAGACUGAAAUAGACAACUCAAUAUUAGCAAAUGGAGGUUUAUCGUCCUAUCCAAAUACUUUCAUUAAUUGGGGGAAGAGCCUCAAUUUCACUCAAACUGGGAAAGCAUAAAUCAAGGUAGGAUUUCAUUACAAUAAUUAAUUUCUUACUUCUUAAGCCCUGCGUCAAGAGACAGGGAAUGAUACAGUUAGACAACUCCUUUUAAAUUUAGUGGAUGGCUAAAGGAUUUAUCUCCACUUAUAAAUUACUUCAGUUUUAGAAAUUUGGAGGAAGAAACACAGUGUAUUGAAGUUGACAAUUUAAAAUAAAAAGCAAAAAAAUUAUUGGAGAAAUAUAAAGGACGCACUUGAAGCUUUGCCAACAAAUUACCCAAUUCUUCAUGGCCAUCAAUGAUUAGACAUUGCAAAGAAGGCAAUUGGGCAGCAAAAUUCUUAGGGCCAAAAAAGCUGAAAUUUGAUCUGGAAGAAAGAGACAAUUUUCUUAGUCGAGGGAACUUGAUGAUGCCAUCUGUGGUGAGUGCAUCUCCUUCUCCACUGUAAAAUAUUUGCUUUAAAUUAUGAGCAUAAAAAAUCCCCAUCUCUUCCAGGUUCAGAAGACUCGGAGACACAGAGACAGGGAAGACAUAUUCCAGUUUACCACACUCUUCUAUGAAGAUAGUUUUUAAUCUUGGGAAGCGAAGAGACUCUGAAAUUAUUUCCCUUUCAUCAUCCUUUUCUCUGAUAAUAUGCUUCAAUUCACCGCAAUAUCAUAUGUCAAGGGUUGCUAGCUUUGGCAGACUUUGAGCCAGGGAUGGUGUGAAGAUAAAUGUCAGUUUGUCGAGAGAAUUCAAAUUCAGAUGAACAAGAUUUUGGAGGCUGACAUGCCUAGUAGCCCCUUCCAUAUACAUCUGAGCUCAGGUAAGUCGAUCAGCAGUAACGUUGUUAAAGAUGACAGUAGCGACAGCUCCUUCUCCUCAUUGCUUUCUUCAUCCACCUCACCCAAUUCAAAUACCUCUUCCAAUGAUUUACAGCUCUCAAUAUCCACACUACUUAGAUUUUUCAAAGCUUGCAGCAAUUUUGCUGGAAAAGGAGUGCGAACAUCCCCACAAUCGUUCACUUCUACAAAUCUUAAUCUUUGUAAGAAGCCCUUUUGCUGUAUAAAUAUUAUAUUUUUUAAACCCUUCACUCUCAUAAAAACAAUUUAUAUGAUGCAUAAAUAGGAAAAAAAUUUUAUAAAGUACGUACUUGUAGCUGUGCCAACCAAUUACCCAAUUCUUUGCGGCCAUGAAUGGUUAGUUUUUGCAAAGAAGGCAAUUGGACAGCAAAAUUCCGUGGACCUAAAAAGCUGUAAUUUGAUCCGAGCCGAAGAGACAAUUCUUUUAGUUGAGGGAACUUGAUGAUGUCAUCUCUGGUAAGUGCAUCUCCUUCUCCACCGUAAAAUAUUUGCUUUAAAUUGUCAGCAUAAUAAAUCGUCAUCUGUUCCAGGUUCGGAAGACUUGGAGACACAGAGACUGGGAAGACAUAUUCCAGUUUACCACAUCCUGAUACAAGGAGAGUUUUUAAUUUUGGGAAGCCUGGAGACUCUGGAAUUAUCUCCCUUUCACCAUCCUGUUCUCUGAUAAUAUGCUUCAAUUCACCGCAUUUUUCUAUCUCAAGUGUUUCUAGCUGUGGUAGACUUUGAGCGAGGGACGGUGUGAAGAUAAAUGUCAGUUUGUCGAGAGACCAAACCUUCAGAUGAGCAAGACUUUGGAGGCUGACAUGUCUGGUGGCCCCCUUCCAUAUGCAUUUGAGCUCAGGUAACCCUUGCAGCUCUAACAUUGUUAAAGAUGAUAGCAGCGGCAUCUCUUUCUCCUCAUUGCUUUCUUCAUCAACCUCACCCAAUUCAAAUACCUCUUCCAAUGAUUUGCAGCUGUCAAUAAUCACCUUCUUUAGAUGUUUCAAAGCUUGCCGCAAUUUUGCUGGAAACAGAGUGCAAAUAUCCCCACAACGCUGCACUUGUACGAAUUCUAAUCUCUGUAAGAAGCCCUUUUGGAGCUCAUGGCCAUGGUUGGUCAUGUGAUCAGAGUGCAAUUCUAUAUUUUUUAAACCCUCUAAACUCGUAAAAAUAAUUUGGGACACCGUAGGAAACAACAGCUCAAAUGUCAUCACAUUUAAGGAUGUGGCGCUUGUACCAGCCAAAUUUAAUCUUGUCGAGGUUGGGUAUCCUCCUGCAUCAAACCGAUUCCCUAAUACUAUAUCAUAUUUGUGCAAGCUAGGAAAAACAAAAUCUCUGGGAAUGCAUUCCACCUUCGGUAUCCUUAAUGAUAAUACAGCUAACUGAGACAACGAAUUUAGUUCUUUUAGGCUUGCAUUCAUUCCUCCUGUGCUGUCACAUCCAACAACAUCCCAUUCCUCAAAGCUGCCAUCCCCGAUCAACAAUUCUUCUAACUUCUUCAACCUUCCAAUCAAAUUCACAGGAAUCCUACUGAGCCUUUCACAACCUGUCACAUCCAACAACCUUAACUCCUUGAGCUCUCCUAUUUCAUCAGGUAAUUCUUCAAUGGAUAAGCACCACAUAAGACCAAGAAUCUUAAGUCUCUGCAGCUUUCUCAACCAAAUGAGGUCCUUGCAUCCACACAUGAUCAACACCAAAGAUUGAAGUUUCGUUGAUAGUUCAAGUGAUUGCAAUGACAAACGCCCUCCGUUCAGAGACAAAACUUCAAUUUCUCUUAUCCCUUCAAAAAACCUCUGAGGAACAUUCAAACCAUAAUCCACUUCUAAUAAUAGAACUUUGAGCUUUGGACAUACCAAUCCUUCAGGAAGUUCUGCUAGUUUAUUGCCCAUUAACGAAAUUGUUGUACAACCUUCAAAGCUUGUAUUGCUCAUUGGCCACUUCUGCAACCCAAUGCCAGCCUUUACCAUGAAUCCAUAUUCUUCUGAUGAUGCUAUCUGAAUAGCAAAGUCAUGCAUUUUCACAUGUUCUCCAGUUUCAGUGCCCAACAGCAUGCAACAAUCUUUGAGGUUUUCGAUUGCCACAAAAACUCGUUUCCUUGCAUCUUCGAUGGGCUCCGCAUCUUGAUGUAACCCAUAGCCAACUGCAUAUCUCAUCAAGUCCUCGAUUGGAAUAUCAUAGUCUUCUGGAAAUAAACAGCAUAGCACGAAACAUGACUUGGUUUCCUCGAACUUCAAAUAAUCAUAGCUCAACUUAAGACAUGUAUAAGCAUUUUUUUGUUUGUCAAUUUGUUCCAUGCGCGGAAAUUGAGAGUCUUUGAGCUGUUUAGACGCUACUUCCCACUGAACUAGAGAUUUAUCUCUUAGAGCCCUUCCCACUGUCACAAGUGCUAUAGGCAAGCCAUGGCAUUCUCUCGCAACCUCCCUUGCCACUGUGUUCAAGGUAGAGUCCCCAUCACGUAAACCUGCAUUGAUUCUGAAUAAAGCCAAUGCUUCAUCUUCAGAUAAGACUCUUAAAAACACUUUUUGCUGGCACUCCAUAGAAGAACAUAUGUGUUCAAAACGUGUUGUUAGAAGAAUUUUAC